RNAcentral lists this ribosomal RNA (253 nucleotides) under uncultured bacterium. RNAcentral describes it as "partial 16S ribosomal RNA". It matches the Rfam family "Bacterial small subunit ribosomal RNA", at positions 524 to 776 of the family's 1533-position model. The record is from RNAcentral.
UACGUAGGUGGCAAGCGUUGUCCGGAUUUAUUGGGCGUAAAGAGCGCGCAGGCGGUCCGUUAAGUCCGAGGUGAAAUCUUCCGGCUCAACUGGGAGGGGUCCUCGGAUACUGGCGGACUUGAGGAGAGCAGAGGUGAGUGGAAUUCUGGGUGUAGUGGUGAAAUGCGUAGAUAUCCAGAGGAACACCAGUGGCGAAGGCGGCUCACUGGGCUCCACCUGACGCUGAGGCGCGAAAGCGUGGGGAGCGAACCGG